UACGGAGGGAGCGAGCGUUGUUCGGAAUUACUGGGCGUAAAGCGCGCGUAGGCGGCUUGUCAAGUUGGAAGUGAAAUCCCGGGGCUCAACCUCGGAACUGCUUUCAAAACUGGCUCGCUAGAGAAUGGUAGGGGGUGGUGGAAUUCCCAGUGUAGAGGUGAAAUUCGUAGAUAUUGGGAGGAACACCAGAGGCGAAGGCGGCCACCUGGACCAUUACUGACGCUGAGGCGCGAAAGCGUGGGGAGCAAAC
This 250-nucleotide ribosomal RNA is filed under the name uncultured bacterium. Its description in RNAcentral is "partial 16S ribosomal RNA". It matches the Rfam family "Bacterial small subunit ribosomal RNA", at positions 524 to 773 of the family's 1533-position model. The record is from RNAcentral.